GGAAUAGUACUAUUAAUGAAAUUUAACGGAUUUGGCGGCAAGAUAGCCACUUAGAGGAACCUGCCCUGUAAACGAUGAACCACGAUUAACCUUACUUUUAUUAGAAUCCAGUUUGUAUACCGCUGUUGUCAGUUAGUUUCUUUAGAAAACUUUCGUACAUGAAAAGUUCAAGGACUUCAAGUAAAGGUGCAGCUUAUGUAAAAGAUAGAGGUGGGUUACAAUUAAAAGAAUAAUAUGGAUAAAGUAGAGAAGAAACUUUUGAAGGUGGAUUUAAUAGUAAAGUUUAAAAAGACUUGAUUAGAGCUCUAUCUUGUGUACACACCGCCCGUCGCUCGCGGGAAAA
This is a ribosomal RNA of 343 nucleotides. It matches the Rfam family "Microsporidia small subunit ribosomal RNA", at positions 751 to 1213 of the family's 1311-position model.